Molecule: ribosomal RNA, 497 nt
Filed under: uncultured bacterium
Lineage: Bacteria
Description: partial 16S ribosomal RNA
Rfam family: Bacterial small subunit ribosomal RNA
Source: RNAcentral
GAUGAACGCUGCCGGCGUGCCUAAUACAUGCAAGUCGAGCGAACAGACGAGGAGCUUGCUCCUUUGACGUUAGCGGCGGACGGGUGAGUAACACGUAGGUAACCUACCUAUAAGACUGGGAUAACUUCGGGAAACCGGAGCUAAUACCGGAUAAUAUUUCGAACCGCAUGGUUCGAUAGUGAAAGAUGGCUUUGCUAUCACUUAUAGAUGGACCUGCGCCGUAUUAGCUAGUUGGUAAGGUAACGGCUUACCAAGGCAACGAUACGUAGCCGACCUGAGAGGGUGAUCGGCCACACUGGAACUGAGACACGGUCCAGACUCCUACGGGAGGCAGCAGUAGGGAAUCUUCCGCAAUGGGCGAAAGCCUGACGGAGCAACGCCGCGUGAGUGAUGAAGGUCUUCGGAUCGUAAAACUCUGUUAUUAGGGAAGAACAAACGUGUAAGUAACUGUGCACGUCUUGACGGUACCUAAUCAGAAAGCCACGGCUAACUACGUG